RNAcentral lists this ribosomal RNA (253 nucleotides) under uncultured bacterium. Its description in RNAcentral is "partial 16S ribosomal RNA". It matches the Rfam family "Bacterial small subunit ribosomal RNA", at positions 524 to 776 of the family's 1533-position model. The record is from RNAcentral.
UACAGAGGGGGCAAGCGUUGUUCGGAAUUACUGGGCGUAAAGCGCGUGUAGGCGGUUGUCCAAGUUGGAUGUGAAAGCCUUGAGCUCAACUCAAGAAAUGCAUUCAGGACUGGAUGACUAGAGGACCGGAGAGGAUAGUGGAAUUCCCAGUGUAGUGGUGAAAUACGUAGAGAUUGGGAAGAACACCAGUGGCGAAGGCGGCUAUCUGGACGGUUUCUGACGCUAAGACGCGAAAGCGUGGGGAGCAAACAGG